This 688-nucleotide ribosomal RNA is filed under the name Escherichia coli. Its description in RNAcentral is "partial 23S ribosomal RNA". It matches the Rfam family "Bacterial large subunit ribosomal RNA", at positions 1 to 722 of the family's 2925-position model. The record is from RNAcentral. Lineage: Bacteria; Pseudomonadati; Pseudomonadota; Gammaproteobacteria; Enterobacterales; Enterobacteriaceae.
GGGUUGUGAGGUUAAGCGACUAAGCGUACACGGUGGAUGCCCUGGCAGUCAGAGGCGAUGAAGGACGUGCUAAUCUGCGAUAAGCGUCGGUAAGGUGAUAUGAACCGUUAUAACCGGCGAUUUCCGAAUGGGGAAACCCAGUGUGAUUCGUCACACUAUCAUUAACUGAAUCCAUAGGUUAAUGAGGCGAACCGGGGGAACUGAAACAUCUAAGUACCCCGAGGAAAAGAAAUCAACCGAGAUUCCCCCAGUAGCGGCGAGCGAACGGGGAGGAGCCCAGAGCCUGAAUCAGUGUGUGUGUUAGUGGAAGCGUCUGGAAAGGCGCGCGAUACAGGGUGACAGCCCCGUACACAAAAAUGCACAUGCUGUGAGCUCGAUGAGUAGGGCGGGACACGUGGUAUCCUGUCUGAAUAUGGGGGGACCAUCCUCCAAGGCUAAAUACUCCUGACUGACCGAUAGUGAACCAGUACCGUGAGGGAAAGGCGAAAAGAACCCCGGCGAGGGGAGUGAAAAAGAACCUGAAACCGUGUACGUACAAGCAGUGGGAGCACGCUUCGGCGUGUGACUGCGUACCUUUUGUAUAAUGGGUCAGCGACUUAUAUUCUGUAGCAAGGUUAACCGAAUAGGGGAGCCGAAGGGAAACCGAGUCUUAACUGGGCGUUAAGUUGCAGGGUAUAGACCCGAAACC